GACGAACGCUGGCGGCGUGCCUAAUACAUGCAAGUAGAACGCUGAAGGACGGCGCUUGUUCUUUCUGGAUGUGUCGCGAACGGGUGUGUCACGCGUAGGUACCCUGCCUGGCAUCGGGAGAUCACUAUUGGAAAGGAUCGCUUAUAGCGCAUAAAAUUGUUUAUUAUAUUGUAGUCAAUUAAAUGGCGCAACUGCACCACUACCUGAUGGCCCUGCGUUGUAUUAGCUAGUUGGUGGGGUAACGGAUCACCAAGGCGUCGAUACGUAGCCGACCUGAGAGGGUGAGCGGCCAGACUGGGACUGAGACACGGCCCAUACGCAUACGGAAGGCAGCAGGAGGGAAUCGGCGGCAAUGGGCGGAAGUCUGACCGAGCAACGCCGCGGGAGUGAAGAAGGAUGCCGGGUCGGAAAGCUCUGUUGUAAGAGAAGAACGAGUGUUCGAGUGGAAAGUUCACUCUGUGACGGUAACGUACCAGAAAGGAACGGCUAACUACGUG
RNAcentral lists this ribosomal RNA (497 nucleotides) under uncultured bacterium. Its description in RNAcentral is "partial 16S ribosomal RNA". It matches the Rfam family "Bacterial small subunit ribosomal RNA", at positions 28 to 507 of the family's 1533-position model. The record is from RNAcentral.